GACGAACGCUGGCGGCGUGCUUAACACAUGCAAGUCGAACGGAAAGGCCCUGCUUGCAGGGUACUCGAGUGGCGAACGGGUGAGUAACACGUGGGUGAUCUGCCCUGCACUUCGGGAUAAGCCUGGGAAACUGGGUCUAAUACCGGAUAGGAGCCAUUUUUAGUGUGAUGGUUGGAAAGUUUUUUCGGUGUAGGGUGAGCUCGCGGCCUAUCAGCUUGUUGGUGGGGUAAUGGCCUACCAAGGCGGCGACGGGUAGCCGGCCUGGGAGGGUGGACGGCCACAUUGGGACUGGGAUUCGGCCCAGACUCCUACGGGGGGCAGCAGUGGGGAAUAUUGCACAAUGGGCGCAAGCCCGAUGCAGCCACGCCGCGUGGGGGAUGACGGCCUUCGGGUUGUAAACUCCUUUCGCUAGGGACGAAGCUUUUUGUGACGGUACCUAGAUAAGAAGCACCGGCUAACUACGUG
This 465-nucleotide ribosomal RNA is filed under the name uncultured bacterium. RNAcentral's name for it is "partial 16S ribosomal RNA". It matches the Rfam family "Bacterial small subunit ribosomal RNA", at positions 28 to 507 of the family's 1533-position model. The record is from RNAcentral.